UGCCAGAAGCUCCGGUCAGGUGUGGACUGUUAGCACUUGGUUUCUGCAAAAUUUCACCUGUUCUGAUGAUUCCUGAGUGGUUUUAGUUGGUGUGCGUCAAUGACGAAAUAACAACAUCCAUAUAUACCUAAUUGCAUAUUGUGUAGUUUGGAACCACAGAAAGAAAUCCCUGUAUGCCAUACCGUGCUGAUUGCCGAUUCUGAAUCCUAAUCAUACAAGUAAACCUACAU
Sinocyclocheilus grahami is the source of this 230-nucleotide long non-coding RNA. RefSeq lists it as uncharacterized. Lineage: Eukaryota; Metazoa; Chordata; Actinopteri; Cypriniformes; Cyprinidae. The transcript is spliced from 3 exons. The record is from RefSeq and is a predicted model, not a curated record.